Molecule: non-coding RNA, 76 nt
Organism: Coregonus clupeaformis (lake whitefish)
Lineage: Eukaryota; Metazoa; Chordata; Actinopteri; Salmoniformes; Salmonidae
Source: the annotation of a RefSeq genome assembly
GGUCCCGUGUGGCUCAGUUGGUAGAGUAUGGCGCUUGUAAUGCCAAGGACCGUGGGUUCGAUUCCCACUGGGGCCA